Long non-coding RNA from Sciurus carolinensis (gray squirrel), 1615 nucleotides. RefSeq lists it as uncharacterized. The transcript is spliced from 6 exons. The record is from RefSeq and is a predicted model, not a curated record. Lineage: Eukaryota; Metazoa; Chordata; Mammalia; Rodentia; Sciuridae.
AAUCAACACGCGACUCCCCACAUAAUGGGUUUCCGUGCAGCACUCUGAGAGGCUCACGAGUUUCCAUGGGCCACAACGUCCUGAGCGGUACAAUGACAGAGUGAUGGCAGGGUGAGGAUACCAGGGUGAAUCAGGCCGUUUGGAAGGCACUAUCCUGGUCUCCUGGCUGCAUGCAGGGUGCACCUGUGGAGAGCAGCUUUGGCGCUGAAGCUGUGGCCGGCAGGCUGGCUGCAUCCUGGCCAGACGCUGCCCAGGGGCAUCAGAACCUUUUCAUCUCGACACCGAUCCCAGCAUCACGGAUUCUCGGGACCUUGCUUCUGCUUCCGGGGAGCGUUCGGCGGCCCCUCCUGUGGGCGUUCAUCUCAGCAUCUUCUCAAGCCACUUGUGUCGGCUCGGGCCCUGAAUCAGCGAGAACGGAAAACAGCCCGUACCCUCCUGGAGCACCCUGAUCAGGAGAGAGACCCUCACCCACGACAACCCCAGGCUCCACCAGACAGCUCACAGAGAGGGCCAGCGUGGCCCAGGGAGGCCGAUCCAGUCAGUCCUGGGCACCCUGGCUCUGUGCCAGGGACCAGGCUGACCAGGGCACAGCACGCAGACCCUGCUGUCAAGGAGAUGACAGUGCAUCCUAGAAGAUCCUAGAUGAACAUCUGAGCCACCUGGGAUGUCGUGCCAUGUUCGAAGCCCCUAUUCUGCACCCGAUCCUUUUGGCACAGGACAGCAGCUCUGACUGCAGAAGGUGAUAGGCACACAGCAACCAAGAAGGGUCCCAGCAGGUAAGGAAGGCCCCCGGAUUUGAGGCACGGUCUUGGCCAGGCCUCCUCUGCUCACCCCGUGUUGCCAUUUUCUUUUUACACCCAGCCUGCUAUAGAAUGCUUGACUUAGGAGAAGCAAGAGCUAGCCCUGAUUCCAAAGGAGGACACAAGAAUUCAAUGGAAAGAUGUGGUUUAAUUCAUACAAUCGCAGGAAAAGCUCAGCAACUAGAUAUUAAUAUAAGAGAACCAUAAUAAAUAAACUAUAGUAAUUAACACAUAUUGAGCACCUACUGUGGGCCAAUCAUUAUUCUAAAACUUUACAUGUGUUGACUUACUCACAGCAAUGCAAAAACUCCUGAUUUUACAGAUGAAGAAACAGAGAAGUCAAGUAAGGAACCUGAGGUCACGCAGCUAGGAAACUUCAGAUAUUAACUUGAACUACCAACUUCAGCCUAGGAAUCAGAGCUUCUUCCUACUAUUUAGGAAAUGGAAGACAAGGCCAGCCAUGUAGGUAGAAGAAAUAAAGUACAGUUUUCUCUAGUAAGUGGCACGUGCGUUGAACCCUGCUGAGGACACCUGGAUGGCAAGUUCCCCAGACUACAUAGGUCCACACAGGAUUCUACACAAGUAAACAAACAAACAGAUGAUGGAUCUACUAAUAAAGAAAAAUGAUCCCAGAGCCCUCUUAUUUUGUGUAUGACUAAACAAAGAUCAAGGCGAAUCUGUCAAUGUGCAUUUACAAAAGACAGUACCUCACAAAGUACGUUCCUCACAAGUACCUGUGAGGGCUUCUGUGUCCAGGUAAAGGCAUGCAUUGAUUGUUAUGCAUGUAUUAAUAUCAAAAUAAUAGAACUCUGGCU